RNAcentral lists this ribosomal RNA (432 nucleotides) under Triticum aestivum (bread wheat). Its description in RNAcentral is "partial small subunit ribosomal RNA". Lineage: Eukaryota; Viridiplantae; Streptophyta; Magnoliopsida; Poales; Poaceae. The record is from RNAcentral.
AUGAGGAGCUUGACGACGUCUCUCGUGGCGGCGCUGCUGCUGCUGUCGGCGCGAGCAGCUGUGGCAGAGCCGUCGACUGCCACCCCGGCACCUACCGCCUGUGACGACAAUUACUCGUGCCCGGAGGGCACGACCUGCUGCUGCAUCUAUCGGCAGGGCGACGAUUGCUUCACCUGGACCUGCUGCCCGCUCCAGGGCACCACCUGCUGCGACGACAGCUACAGCUGCUGCCCCCAUGACUACGGCUUCUGCAACACCAAUCUUGGAACCUGCCUCAUGGGCCAGGACAGCCCGCUGUCAGUGAAGGCUCUGAAGCGUACCAUGGCCAAGCCGCAUUGGGCUUUCUCGUCAGGACCCAAGACUACCAUGUCUGAAUCUACCCAAGAAUUCGAAACUUGCUACAACAGUGAUCAGAUCUCUAGCAUAUUAUAA